This 305-nucleotide ribosomal RNA is filed under the name uncultured bacterium. RNAcentral describes it as "bacterial SSU rRNA". It matches the Rfam family "Bacterial small subunit ribosomal RNA", at positions 335 to 632 of the family's 1533-position model. The record is from RNAcentral.
UGCCCUACGGGGGGCAGCAGUAGGGAAUUUUCGUCAAUGGGCGCAAGCCUGAACGAGCAAUGCCGCGUGAACGAGGAAGGUCUUCGGAUCGUAAAGUUCUGUUGAAGGGGAAAAAGAGCGGAGAGAGGAAAUGAACUCCGAUUGAUAUUACCCUUCGAGGAAGUCACGGCUAACUACGUGCCAGCAGCCGCGGUAAUACGUAGGUGGCGAGCGUUAUCCGGAAUGAUUGGGCGUAAAGGGUGCGUAGGCGGCCUGCUAAGUCUGAUGUGAAAGCCUUCGGCUUAACCGGAGUAGUGCAUUGGAAA